AAUACUUUGUGUAGACAAUUAAUAUGGCCUCCACUAUGUUUUGUCUCCACCGUUUCAAGAGACAUAGCUGUAGCCCAUCACUUUGACACAUAAUUUCAAAGCACUUGUCCUUCUCUUUAUGUGCCUUCAACGUCUUCUUCUCUAGGAACAAUUGAGUUCAUUCACCUCAUUUUGGCCGAGUCUCUGUAUGUAUUGCAGAUGCGUCAUUUUCUUUGCUUUGAUUAUAAUAUUGCCUUGCAGACACCAUACAAGCUGUGGCUCCACGAAAGGCAGAAGCUUUGACAUGUUCUUCUGGGAUUGCUUUGUUCGUGCAAUCCUUUGUGUCAAUUAGCCCUCUCUAUUCACGGCGAUUUGUGAGCUUUGGCAUUCGUUGUCUCCAUCACCUAGGCAGCCUUGCAAUCAUCUUGUGCAGGUACAAGUGCAGGCAGGGAGUUUGACAGCAAGGGCAGGCAAGAACUUUGAUAGCAGAGGCCAUUUCAUCACUGGGAUUUGGUGGACAAGGUUACCAGGAGUACUUCCAAGAGAACAUCAAGGUGGUGCAAGGCCAUUUGUUGCGUUGCGGUGGAAGGGAUUGCAGGAGGUAGAAGGCUUUUGGUGGUGACCGUUGUUGACUUCCAGAACGGAUGGCAUGACACUCCACCGAUUGGUCAUACACUCGUUGAUACACAUGUAUCGUAUACGAGAUUGCGAUCGUUCGGGGAUCUCCAUGGCUCCACAGCGACACCAGUAAAAGAGACCCUGCAAAAAAA
Rosa chinensis is the source of this 749-nucleotide long non-coding RNA. RefSeq lists it as uncharacterized. NCBI's taxonomy places the organism in Eukaryota, Viridiplantae, Streptophyta, Magnoliopsida, Rosales, Rosaceae. The record is from RefSeq and is a predicted model, not a curated record. The transcript is spliced from 3 exons.